Molecule: ribosomal RNA, 253 nt
Filed under: uncultured bacterium
Lineage: Bacteria
Description: partial 16S ribosomal RNA
Rfam family: Bacterial small subunit ribosomal RNA
Source: RNAcentral
UACGUAGGUGGCAAGCGUUGUCCGGAAUUAUUGGGCGUAAAGCGCGCGCAGGCGGUCCUUUAAGUCUGAUGUGAAAGCCCACGGCUCAACCGUGGAGGGUCAUUGGAAACUGGGGGACUUGAGUGCAGGAGAGAAGAGUGGAAUUCCACGUGUAGCGGUGAAAUGCGCAGAGAUGUGGAGGAACACCAGUGGCGAAGGCGACUCUUUGGCCUGUAACUGACGCUGAGGCGCGAAAGCGUGGGGAGCAAACAGG